This 732-nucleotide ribosomal RNA is filed under the name Apiomorpha malleeacola. Its description in RNAcentral is "bacterial SSU rRNA". It matches the Rfam family "Eukaryotic small subunit ribosomal RNA", at positions 51 to 516 of the family's 1831-position model. Lineage: Eukaryota; Metazoa; Arthropoda; Insecta; Hemiptera; Eriococcidae. The record is from RNAcentral.
GUGCAAGCCGUCCGCUAAAAUGUUAAACAAAAUAGUACACGGUGAAACCGCGAAAGGCUCAUUAAAUCAGUUAUGGUUCCUUAGAUCGUGCCCACGUUACUUGGAUAACUGUGGUAAUUCUAGAGCUAAUACAUGCCGACAGAGUUCUGACCAGCGCCGAGCGGGCGCGCACAUAUGCGCGCCACCGCGCGCACCCAUGCCAGAUCCUGCAUGCGGUGUCGUCGACGGCGGCCGCGUUGUGCGCCGCGUGUCUCCGGAGUUUGGAAGGAACGCUCUUAUUAGAUCAAAACCGGCCAAGCGGGGUCGUUGCUUAACGCGUGUGUGCGCUGCCACGUGUAUGCGUGUAUAGGCGUUCGCGCGUGUGCUCGUAUCCGUGCGCAUACCGCACACACGUGUCUUCGUCCCCCGUAAGUGGCCCGCGCAAAGACUUGACGACUCUGAAUAAUUUCUAGCUGAUCGCACGGUCGAAACGUUUUAUUCCGCAAAUGAAAAACAGCACCGGCGACGUAUCUUUCAAAUGUCUGCCUUAUCAACUGUCGACGGUAGGUUCGACGCCUACCGUGGUGGUAACGGGUAACGGGGAAUCAGGGUUCGAUUCCGGAGAGGGAGCCUGAGAAACGGCUACCACAUCCAAGGAAGGCAGCAGGCGCGCAAAUUACCCACUCCCAGCUCGGGGAGGUAGUGACGAAAAAUAACGAUACGGGACUCAUCCGAGGCCCCGUAAUCGGAAUG